UGAAUGCCUUGGAAAAUGGAGCCGAAGAAGGACGUGAUUACCUGCGAAAAGUCUGGGGGAGCUGGAAGUAAGCUGCGAUCCCGGAAUGUCCGAAUGGGGAAACCUAACAUGAUUUAUCUCAUGUUAUCUAUAAGUGAAUACAUAGCUUAUAAGAAGGGAACCUAGGGAACUGAAACAUCUUAGUACCUAGAGGAAAAGAAAAUAAUAAUGAUUCUGUUAGUAGUGGCGAGCGAACACGGAACAGGCCAAACCGUUCUACGGGGCGGGGUUGUAGGACUUUUGUUAGAGUUACAAAGUUAUUGUAUAGUAGAAGCUAUUGGGAAGUAGCGGCAUAGAGGGUGAUACCCCCGUAUACGAAAUGCAAUAACCUCGAGAAAGUAUCCUGAGUACGGCGAAACACGUGAAAUUUUGUCGGAAUCUGCCAAGACCACUUGGUAAGCCUAAAUACUACCAUUUUACCGAUAGUGAACCAGUACCGUGAGGGAAAGGUGAAAAGCACCCCGAGAGGGGAGUGAAAGAGAUCCUGAAACCAUAUGCUUACAAGAAGGUAGAGCCCGUUAAUGGGUGAUACCGUGCUUUUUGUAGAAAGAGCCGGCGAGUUACUAUUGCAUGCGAGGUUAAGUCGAUAUAGAUGGAGCCGUAGUGAAAGCGAGCCUUAAUAGGGCGUUUAGUAUGCAGUAGUAGACACGAAACCGGGUGAUCUAGCCAUGAGCAGGUUGAAGUUAGGGUAAAACCUAAUGGAGGACCGAACCAGUAUUCGUUGAAAAGACUUUGGAUGACUUGUGGCUAGCGGUGAAAUUCCAAUCGAACCCGGAGAUAGCUAGUUCUCCCCGAUAUAUCUUUAAGGAUAGCGUUAUGUGAAUUGUUGUGGAGGUAGAGCACUGAAUCUAUGAUGGCUGCACCUAGCGGUACUGAUUAGAAUUAAACUCCGAAUGCCAUAACUUGUGCAUAGCAGUCAGAACAUGGGUGAUAAGGUCCAUGCUCGUGAGGGAAACAGCCCAGAUCGUCAGCUAAGGUCCCUAAGUGUAAACUAAGUGUGUAAGGAUGUGGAACUGCACAGACAGCUAGGAUGUUGGCUUAGAAGCAGCCAUCAUUUAAAGAGUGCGUAACAGCUCACUAGUCGAGUGAUUCUGCGCCGAAAAUGUACCGGGGCUUAAGUUUACCACCGAAGCUACGGAUUGUACGCAAGUACAGUGGUAGGGGAGCGUUCCAAGGGUGAUGAAGUCAGACCGUAAGGACUGGUGGAGCGCUUGGAAGUGAUUAUGCCGGCAUGAGUAACGUUUGGAAGUGAGAAUCUUCCAUGCCGUUUGACCAAGGUUUCCUGGGCAAGGUUCGUCCACCCAGGGUUAGUCAGGACCUAAGACGAGGCCGACAGGCGUAGUCGAUGGACAACAGGUUGAUAUUCCUGUACCAGUUAAUUAGUGAUGGAGUGACGGAGAAGGAUAGUAUAUCCCGGGUGCUGGUUGUCCCGGGCUAAGCACAAAGACGGCAACAUUGGCAAAUCCGUGUUGUAUUAACGUUGAAGUGUGAUGGGGAGUGAACGGUUCGCCUAGUAACGAAGUAUAUGACUCCACGCUUCCAAGAAAAGCUUCUAACAUUAAUAAUUAACUGCCUGUACCUAGAACGAACACACGUGGUCAAGGAGAAAAUCCUAAGGCAAGCGAGAUAACUGUAGCUAAGGAACUCUGCAAAAUAACUCCGUAACUUCGGAAGAAGGAGUGCUCAUCUUUGAUGAGCCGCAGUGAAGAGGGAGGGGCAACUGUUUAACAAAAACACAGCUCUCUGCUAAGUCGCAAGACGAUGUAUAGGGGGUGACACCUGCCCAGUGCCGGAAGGUUAAGAGGAGAAGUCAGCGCAAGCGAAGCUUUGAAUUGAAGCCCCGGUGAACGGCGGCCGUAACAAUAACGGUCCUAAGGUAGCGAAAUUCCUUGUCAGGUAAAUUCUGACCCGCACGAAAGGUGUAAUGAUCCCUUCGCUGUCUCGGCUGCAGACUCGGUGAAAUUUUAGUACCGGUGAAGAUGCCGGUUACCC
Molecule: ribosomal RNA, 2031 nt
Filed under: Listeria monocytogenes
Lineage: Bacteria; Bacillati; Bacillota; Bacilli; Caryophanales; Listeriaceae
Description: partial 23S ribosomal RNA
Rfam family: Bacterial large subunit ribosomal RNA
Source: RNAcentral